RNAcentral lists this ribosomal RNA (253 nucleotides) under uncultured prokaryote. Its description in RNAcentral is "partial 16S ribosomal RNA". It matches the Rfam family "Bacterial small subunit ribosomal RNA", at positions 525 to 777 of the family's 1533-position model. The record is from RNAcentral.
ACAGAGGGUGCUAGCGUUGUUCGGAAUCAUUGGGCGUAAAGGGCGUGUAGGCGGUUUGUUAAGUCAUGUGUGAAAGCCCCCGGCUCAACCGGGGAGUGCGGCUGCGAACUGGGUUUCUUGAGGACGAUAGAGGAGAGUGGAAUUCCUGGUGUAGCGGUGAAAUGCGUAGAUAUCAGGAGGAACACCCGAGGCGAAGGCGGCUCUCUGGGUCGUACCUGACGCUGAGGCGCGAAAGCGUGGGGAGCGAACGGGA